RNAcentral lists this ribosomal RNA (455 nucleotides) under uncultured bacterium. Its description in RNAcentral is "bacterial SSU rRNA". It matches the Rfam family "Bacterial small subunit ribosomal RNA", at positions 340 to 786 of the family's 1533-position model. The record is from RNAcentral.
UACGGGAGGCAGCAGUGGGGAAUAUUGCACAAUGGGCGAAAGCCUGAUGCAGCUAUGCCGCGUGUAUGAAGAAGGCCUUAGGGUUGUAAAGUACUUUCAUCGGGGAGGAAAAACAAAACUAAUAAUUUUAUUUCUUGACGUUACCCGAAAAAGAAGCACCGGCUAACUCCGUGCCAGCAGCCGCGGUAAUACGGAGGGUGCUAGCGUUAAUCAGAAUUACUGGGCGUAAAGAGCACGUAGGUGGUUUUUUUAAGUCAGAUGUGAAAUCCCUGGGCUUAACCUAGGAACUGCAUUUUGAAACUGAAAUACUAGAGUAUCGUAGAGGGAGGUAGAAUUCUAGGUGUAGCGGUGAAAUGCGUAGAUAUCUGGAGGAAUACCUGCGGCGAAAGCGGCCUCCUAAACGAAUACUGACACUGAGGUGCGAAAGCGUGGGGAGCAAACAGGGAUUAGAUACC